Molecule: long non-coding RNA, 913 nt
Organism: Trifolium pratense (red clover)
Lineage: Eukaryota; Viridiplantae; Streptophyta; Magnoliopsida; Fabales; Fabaceae
Exons: 2
Source: RefSeq, a predicted model, not a curated record
UUAGAAGUCUGGACUAAACCCAAUAGUGAAAAAUAUCACCCAAUGUAUAGAUCUUCUCUAAACUAUUUUAAAGAAAAUUAGCUCUUCCCAUUUUCUUUGGUAACUAGAGUGGCCUUUUUGGUUAAAGAUAAACAGCUUCUACACAGUAUAUGAUGGUGCAUGCAUCUUUUUUUCCGAAUAUGACAUUGUAUACUAUUGUACUGUUGCACUUUCUAUAUGAUGCAUUAGCAAUUAUCUAAAUCUUGCAAGCCUUAAAAAGAUAGGCAAUCGUUCCUUCAUUAUUUUGCAGAAGUACCACUUGAAUCAUCACUACCGGGUCCAGAUCCUUGGCUUUGGCAUCACGUCACCAUUCUGGGAUAAGGUUUUUGGAACGGUUCCCCCUCCAUCAAAGGUGGAUGCCAAGCGUAGAAGUAACGGUUGAGCCUGCAUUUGUUCAUUGGUUAAUUAUAGCAGAUUGAGGAGUUUAGACAAAAAAAAGGUAAACUCUUUGUGCACAUUCCUCUCUCUUCUAACUUAGGAAGGAACAUUGACUACACAGUUGAUGGCAAUUAGGAAGAAGGCAGAAGGAACAUUGACUACACAGUUGAUGGCAAUUAGCAAGAAGGCAGCCGCUACUGCUAAUUGUUGAGCUUAAACAAGCAGCAUACCUAUGUGAUGGGAAUUCGUUGAUAGUAUGAAAGGAAACACAAAAUUGUAUGUUUGAAUUGGUGACGAGUUUGGAUAAAUUACAGUGACACUGCGGUUUCAUUUAAACUUUAAUGUGUAGUUUUUGCUAAAAUCAGAAUGAGUUACCGGUGAUUCUUCCAAACUUCGCUUCAAUACAAACAUACACACAGUGACAACAUUGACUACCGGUGUAGUUUUUGUAUGAUAUUUAACAUCUUUUCCAUUCAAUGUGAAACUCUUACUUAGA